RNAcentral lists this ribosomal RNA (254 nucleotides) under uncultured bacterium. RNAcentral describes it as "partial 16S ribosomal RNA". It matches the Rfam family "Bacterial small subunit ribosomal RNA", at positions 524 to 776 of the family's 1533-position model. The record is from RNAcentral.
UACGGGGGGAGCAAGCGUUGUUCGGAUUUACUGGGCGUAAAGGGCGCGUAGGCGGCCAGUGCAAGUCAGUUGUGAAAUCUCCGAGCUUAACUCGGAAAGGUCAACUGAUACUGCUCGGCUAGAGUGCGGAAGGGGCAACUGGAAUUCCUGGUGUAGCGGUGAAAUGCGCAGAUAUCGGGAGGAACACCCGUAGCGAAGGCGGCACUCUGGGCCGGUACUGACGCUGAGGAGCGAAAGCGUGGGGAGCAAACAGG